AAUGAACGUUGGCGGCGUGGAUUAGGCAUGCAAGUCGAGCGAGAACCGUAGCAAUACGGGGACAGCGGCGCAAGGGACAGUAAUGUGUAGAUCAUCUGCCCUCAGGACCGGGAUAGCUGCGGGAAACUGCAGGUAAUACCGGAUAACAUCUCCGGAUCAAAGGUGUGAUUCCGCCUGAGGAUGAGUCUACAUCCUAUUAGCUAGUUGGUAGGUAACGGCCACCAAGGCGAUGAUGGGUAGCGGGUGUGAGAGCACGACCCGCGUCAUUGGGACUGAGACACUGCCCAGACACCUACGGGUGGCUGCAGUCGAGAAUCUUCGGCAAUGGGCGCAAGCCUGACCGAGCGACGCCGCGUGUGUGAAGAAGGCCUGCGGGG
Molecule: ribosomal RNA, 377 nt
Filed under: uncultured bacterium
Lineage: Bacteria
Description: bacterial SSU rRNA
Rfam family: Bacterial small subunit ribosomal RNA
Source: RNAcentral